UGGGGAAUUUUCCGCAAUGGGCGCAAGCCUGACGGAGCAAGACCGCGUGCGGGAGGACGGCCUAUUGGUUGUAAACCGCUUUUGAUAGGGAAGAAGCUCUGACGGUACCUAGUCAGAAUCAC
Molecule: ribosomal RNA, 122 nt
Filed under: uncultured bacterium
Lineage: Bacteria
Description: partial 16S ribosomal RNA
Rfam family: Bacterial small subunit ribosomal RNA
Source: RNAcentral